RNAcentral lists this small RNA (132 nucleotides) under Salmonella enterica. RNAcentral's name for it is "RtT sRNA". It matches the Rfam family "RtT RNA". Rfam says of the family: This family represents a bacterial cis-regulatory element known as RtT RNA. Lineage: Bacteria; Pseudomonadati; Pseudomonadota; Gammaproteobacteria; Enterobacterales; Enterobacteriaceae. RNAcentral also lists the same sequence under 2 other names. The record is from RNAcentral.
AUAUCUCUCUUUACGGGAAGGAUGAGAAGCUUCGACUAAGGUUCGAUUCGAGCGUCAGCGAGAAAGCGUUGCCGCAGGCAACGACCCGAAGGGCGAAGCGCGCAGCGCUGAGUCAUCCUUCCCCCACCACCA